AUAGCGUAUAUUAAAGUUGUUGCAGUUAAAAAGCUCGUAGUUGAAUUUCCGGGCCCGGCCAGACGGUCUGCCGCAAGGUGUGUAUCGUCGGACGGGCUUGACCUUUUUCCGAAGACUGUGCGUGCUCUUCACUGAGUUGCGUACGGGACUCGGGACUUUUACUUUGAAAAAAUUAGAGUGUUCAAAGCAGGCAUUUCGCUUGAAUACAUUAGCAUGGAAUAAUGGAAUAGGACUUUGGUCUUAUUUUGUUGGUUUCUAGGACCGAAGUAAUGAUUGAUAGGGACAGUUGGGGGCAUUAGUAUUUAAUUGUCAGAGGUGAAAUUCUUGGAUUUAUGAAAGACUAACUUCUG
Molecule: ribosomal RNA, 350 nt
Filed under: Monosiga ovata
Lineage: Eukaryota; Choanoflagellata; Craspedida; Salpingoecidae
Description: SSU rRNA
Rfam family: Eukaryotic small subunit ribosomal RNA
Source: RNAcentral